Molecule: ribosomal RNA, 301 nt
Filed under: uncultured bacterium
Lineage: Bacteria
Description: partial 16S ribosomal RNA
Rfam family: Bacterial small subunit ribosomal RNA
Source: RNAcentral
CAGUCGCCACGGGAAUACGAAGGGGGCUAGCGUUGCUCGGAAUCACUGGGCGUAAAGGGUGCGUAGGCGGGUCUUUAAGUCAGGGGUGAAAUCCUGGAGCUCAACUCCAGAACUGCCUUUGAUACUGAAGAUCUUGAGUUCGGGAGAGGUGAGUGGAACUGCGAGUGUAGAGGUGAAAUUCGUAGAUAUUCGCAAGAACACCAGUGGCGAAGGCGGCUCACUGGCCCGAUACUGACGCUGAGGUGCGAAAGCGUGGGGAGCAAACAGGAUUAGAUACCCCCGUAGUCCCUGUCUCUUAUAC